RNAcentral lists this long non-coding RNA (475 nucleotides) under Ostreococcus sp. 'lucimarinus'. RNAcentral describes it as "long non-coding RNA (OLUC_LNC000023)". Lineage: Eukaryota; Viridiplantae; Chlorophyta; Mamiellophyceae; Mamiellales; Bathycoccaceae. The record is from RNAcentral.
UCCCACUCCGGCGUCGGCGGCAUAUUAUGCGCUUCCGCCUCCUUCUUCUCGCCGCUUUUCCCUCCGAACAUCGCGCCCGCUUUAUCCGCGACGCUUCGCGCCGUCGACGUCAAUCCAUCCUUCAGCGAACUCAAAUCGAUCCCACGACCCUGCGUCGCCCCAUCUCCUCGCUGCUUCGUCCCGUUCGCCCCAUCGGCCGCGCGUCAGUCUCCAUCGCCUCCCCGUCGCGCGUCUCGCCUCUCUUCGCGCAUCGCGUCGCCAUCCGCGUCGCGAUCCUCGUCGGCGUGGAUGGUGUUACGCAUCCAUCGAUUCGCGUCGCGUCGCGUCGCGUCGCGCCGCCGCGCCGCCGCGCCGUCGUCGCUCGCACCUGGUGCGUCUCGCCCACGCGCUCGUACCCCGCGGUCCAGUUCUUGAGCGCGUCCAUCGUCGUCGCGCUGUGCCGCGCGUCGUCACUCCAUCGCGCGCGCGUCGUCGC